Molecule: ribosomal RNA, 497 nt
Filed under: uncultured bacterium
Lineage: Bacteria
Description: partial 16S ribosomal RNA
Rfam family: Bacterial small subunit ribosomal RNA
Source: RNAcentral
GAUGAACGCUGGCGGCGUGCCUAAUACAUGCAAGUCGAGCGAACAGAUGAGGAGCUUGCUCCUCUGACGUUAGCGGCGGACGGGUGAGUAACACGUGGAUAACCUACCUAUAAGACUGGGAUAACUUCGGGAAACCGGAGCUAAUACCGGAUAAUAUAUUGAACCGCAUGGUUCAAUAGUGAAAGACGGUUUUGCUGUCACUUAUAGAUGGAUCCGCGCCGCAUUAGCUAGUUGGUAAGGUAACGGCUUACCAAGGCAACGAUGCGUAGCCGACCUGAGAGGGGGAUAGGCCACACUGGAACUGAGACACGGUCCAGACUCCUACGGGAGGCAGCAGUAGGGAAUCUUCCGCAAUGGGCGAAAGCCUGACGGAGCAACGCCGCGUGAGUGAUGAAGGUCUUCGGAUCGUAAAACUCGGUUAUUAGGGAAGAACAAAUGUGUAAGUAACUAUGCACGUCUUGACGGUACCUAAUCAGAAAGCCACGGCUAACUACGUG